RNAcentral lists this non-coding RNA (30 nucleotides) under Rattus norvegicus (Norway rat). Lineage: Eukaryota; Metazoa; Chordata; Mammalia; Rodentia; Muridae. The record is from RNAcentral.
UUCAAUCUUGACUUUCAGGGCAAGCUCCAU